This 304-nucleotide ribosomal RNA is filed under the name uncultured bacterium. Its description in RNAcentral is "partial 16S ribosomal RNA". It matches the Rfam family "Bacterial small subunit ribosomal RNA", at positions 506 to 807 of the family's 1533-position model. The record is from RNAcentral.
CAGCAGCAGCCGCGGUAAAACAGAGGGUGCGAGCGUUAAUCGGAUUUACUGGGCGUAAAGCGUGCGUAGGCGGCUUUUUAAGUCGGAUGUGAAAUCCCUGAGCUUAACUUAGGAAUUGCAUUCGAUACUGGGAAGCUAGAGUAUGGGAGAGGAUGGUAGAAUUCCAGGUGUAGCGGUGAAAUGCGUAGAGAUCUGGAGGAAUACCGAUGGCGAAGGCAGCCAUCUGGCCUAAUACUGACGCUGAGGUACGAAAGCAUGGGGAGCAAACAGGAUUAGAUACCCCCGUAGUCCCUGUCUCUUAUAC